CAAACCCAUCCCGCAAUUUGCAUUCUCUUGACCCAGCAGCCUUAGGAAUUGAAGGACAGAGAUACUUGCAGCAGCUGUCCAACCCUUCAAUUUCUGGCCAAAUCCCAUCCUUACCAACAUCUUUUCAUCUCUAACAGCAGCCCCAUGAUGGAAGAAACCAGUCACCAUCUUCUCCUCUUUACAGAACGCGAGAGAAGAAGCGAGAGGAGCCACAAUUGCUCUCCAAAAUCUAGCAAUUUCUUAUGAGAAUUUCACUCAUUCUUAGUGAUUUGGUCUAUUUGAGGCUGCAACAACCACUCCUAAACUCCCUUGUUGCUUCAAUUAGAGUUGAUUUCAUCCAUUUCAACCAAACAGCAAAAUAGAAACAGGAAAUAGAAGAGCUAUUGUUGCUGUCCCUCUUGGAUUUUGGCAUUUUCAAUGCCGUUAAAGCCAACCAGCAACAUCCCCGGC
Molecule: unclassified non-coding RNA, 450 nt
Filed under: Hevea brasiliensis (rubber tree)
Lineage: Eukaryota; Viridiplantae; Streptophyta; Magnoliopsida; Malpighiales; Euphorbiaceae
Source: RNAcentral